GCCUGCGGGGCUGUGGGCGGGGCGGGCGGGGAGCUCAGGACUGGGCGGGGUGGGGGCAGCGGCUGAGACCAUCGAGCGUGGGGAGCACUCUCCUCCCUCUCCCCGGAGCGUGCACGGAGGAGGUGCCGGGAGCGUCACGUGGAUGGGAGCCCGGUGGGAGAGCUACCCCUUCGGACUGUAGUGACUCACUUUGUUUUGGUCAGUUCCCUACUGAACCCCCAAAGUCCGUGCACAAGGAAGGGAACACCUCCAGACCAGGACAAGGCGCGACCGCUAAAGGAACCCCCAAAUUUACCCCUGGAAUUCCUUUCCCGUGUGAAGUCUUAGCACCACGUCCGGGCGAACGAGCUCAGGCCCCACUGCUGGGUUCACACUGUCGUUGGUUUCGAGGAAGACCCGCCUUUCUCCACAGAGGAGGCCGAGGCCGGGGAGCCCUGGGACGGCAGACAGGAGGGCUGGGGGGCGGGAGAGGGUGUCUGCCACACUGGAAGGCCUGGACCCCCCUCCCAGAGGCCGAGCUGGUCUAUCUUCCAGGAGGAGGAAGUGUCCCCGCGCCGCCCCGGGCUCUUUUCGGAAACAGAGCGGAGGAACUGGCCGCACGUGCCUGUGACCACGCUGUCCGCGCAGCACCAGAGGGGGCAACGCCAGCCAUCCAGGUCAAGGCAGCGCUCCAGCGGAAACGCGUGACCCUGACCGGCAGGGCCCUUCCUCUGUCUUCCCCAGCCCAAACGGAAAGAGGAAUGUCAGAGCCAGAGCAAUUUCACAAGCCCAAGCCCCACUUCCUCUCUGAAGCUGUGACUACUCGACCGGGUGAUGGGUGACUGCCCUUUUCCUAAAGCAUCUGAACUUACUGCAAGCACCUUUUGGUCCACUGAGUCAUUCAUUCACUCAAGUUUCUAUCAUAAGAGCCACUGUGUUCAGGUACAGAGUCUAUGGGCAGGUCCUCCCGUGAUGAUGGAAAAGUUCUGCACAUGUGUCUCCAGUACACACCUGCUGAAUGCAGCCAGUAAGACUAAGGAACUAAACUUUAUAUUUGAUUUAAUGCUGCUGACCCAUCCUGCUCCAUCUUACAGGAAUGCCUUAUUUCUCAAGACUCUCCUACAUUUGAAUGAAUGAAUGAAAGAAUGAACAAACGUUACUAUUAAACCCUGAACACAACUGACACAGAGCAAUGAAAAUAUUUAUGCUGACAAUAGAAAGCACUUAAUUUCACUAUUUCAGGUCAUUAAAAAUACCCUUGUACAAUA
Long non-coding RNA from Bos taurus (domestic cattle), 1247 nucleotides. The record is from Ensembl. NCBI's taxonomy places the organism in Eukaryota, Metazoa, Chordata, Mammalia, Artiodactyla, Bovidae.